GGGGAUUUAGCUUAGCGGCAUAAGCACCUGCCUUGUAAGCAGGCAGUCCCGA
This 52-nucleotide transfer RNA is filed under the name Cavia porcellus (domestic guinea pig). It matches the Rfam family "tRNA", at positions 1 to 50 of the family's 71-position model. From Rfam's summary of the family: Transfer RNA (tRNA) molecules are approximately 80 nucleotides in length. Lineage: Eukaryota; Metazoa; Chordata; Mammalia; Rodentia; Caviidae. The record is from Rfam by way of RNAcentral.